AAUUUUUAGUUUAUUUAAUUAGUGAUGCGAUAAAAUUGAGUAUAUAUGUCGUGUGCGAAUUUUUGAAAUAUCUUUUUCUACGCAAUGUGUGAACAUAGUGAGAUUAAAUGUUCUCCUAACAAGUUGUUACGGAUUUGAUCAAAUGCGAGAAAUUGGAUGAUGGCAAUUAUGAUAUUUGGCACCGUAAAAUUCAAUAUGUU
This 200-nucleotide long non-coding RNA is filed under the name Ananas comosus (pineapple). RNAcentral describes it as "long non-coding RNA (ACOM_LNC003735)". Lineage: Eukaryota; Viridiplantae; Streptophyta; Magnoliopsida; Poales; Bromeliaceae. The record is from RNAcentral.